UACGGAGGGUGCGAGCGUUGUCCGGAAUCACUGGGCGUAAAGCGCGCGUAGGCGGCCCUGUAAGUCCGUUGUGAAAGUCAAAGGCUCAACCUUUGAAAGCCGGUGGAUACUGUCGGGCUAGAGUCCGGAAGAGGCGAGUGGAAUUCCUGGUGUAGCGGUGGAAUGCGCAGAUAUCAGGAGGAACACCGAUAGCGAAGGCAGCUCGCUGGGACGGUACUGACGCUGAGGUGCGAAAGCGUGGGGAGCGAACAGG
RNAcentral lists this ribosomal RNA (253 nucleotides) under uncultured bacterium. RNAcentral's name for it is "partial 16S ribosomal RNA". It matches the Rfam family "Bacterial small subunit ribosomal RNA", at positions 524 to 776 of the family's 1533-position model. The record is from RNAcentral.